ACCGAGUUUACAACUCCCAAACCCCUGUGAACAUACCAAUUGUUGCCUCGGCGGAUCAGCCCGCUCCCGGUAAAACGGGACGGCCCGCCAGAGGACCCCUAAACUCUGUUUCUAUAUGUAACUUCUGAGUAAAACCAUAAAUAAAUCAAAACUUUCAACAACGGAUCUCUUGGUUCUGGCAUCGAUGAAGAACGCAGCAAAAUGCGAUAAGUAAUGUGAAUUGCAGAAUUCAGUGAAUCAUCGAAUCUUUGAACGCACAUUGCGCCCGCCAGUAUUCUGGCGGGCAUGCCUGUUCGAGCGUCAUUUCAACCCUCAAGCCCAGCUUGGUGUUGGGACUCGCGAGUUAAACCGCGUUCCCCAAAUUGAUUGGCGGUCACGUCGAGCUUCCAUAGCGUAGUAGUAAAACCCUCGUUACUGGUAAUCGUCGCGGCCACGCCGUUAAACCCCAACUUCUGAAUGUUGACCUCGGAUCAGGUAGGAAUACC
RNAcentral lists this ribosomal RNA (485 nucleotides) under fungal sp. E14904B. Its description in RNAcentral is "eukaryotic LSU rRNA". The stretch from base 150 to 303 matches the Rfam family "5.8S ribosomal RNA". Lineage: Eukaryota; Fungi. The record is from RNAcentral.